AUCGCUUCUUGGCCUUUUGGCUAAGAUCAAGUGUAAGAACUCUGGGAGGGAGGUGCCUGGAAGGUGAGCAUAAUUUUUAAUGUAAAUAAAUAAAUAAAGGAUUCUUUUUUUGUGGUUUUUUGGUUUUUUGGAUUUGUUUUUUUCAAGACAGGGUUUCUCUGUGUAGCCCUGGCUGUCCUGGAACUCACU
This is a small nuclear RNA of Apodemus sylvaticus (European woodmouse), 189 nucleotides long. RefSeq annotates it as U2 spliceosomal RNA. The transcript has a single exon. The record is from RefSeq and is a predicted model, not a curated record. NCBI's taxonomy places the organism in Eukaryota, Metazoa, Chordata, Mammalia, Rodentia, Muridae.